CGUGUAGGCGGUCGUGUAAGUCGGGUGUGAAAUCCCGGGGCUCAACCCCGGAACUGCACUCGAUACUGUUCGACUAGAGUCCCGGAGAGGAAGGCGGAAUUCCCGGUGUAGAGGUGAAAUUCGUAGAUAUCGGGAGGAACACCAGUGGCGAAGGCGGCCUUCUGGACGGUGACUGACGCUGAGACGCGAAAGCGUGGGGAGCAAACAGGAUUAGAUACCCUGGUAGUCC
This 229-nucleotide ribosomal RNA is filed under the name uncultured bacterium. Its description in RNAcentral is "partial 16S ribosomal RNA". It matches the Rfam family "Bacterial small subunit ribosomal RNA", at positions 568 to 796 of the family's 1533-position model. The record is from RNAcentral.